AGAGUUUGAUCCUGGCUCAGAACGAACGCUGGCGGCGCGUUUUAAGCAUGCAAGUCGAACGGUAAUAGGGUGCUUGCACUCUAUGAGAGUGGCGAACGGGUGAGUAACACGUAGGUAAUCUACCUUGAAGUUGGGGAUAGCCUGUGGAAACACAGGGUAAUACCGAAUGUCCUCAUUUCGGUGAGGAAAGAGGCUAAGGCCUCGCUUUGGGAUGAGCCUGCGGCUCAUUAGCUAGUUGGUGGGGUAAAGGCCUACCAAGGCGACGAUGAGUAGCCGACCUGAGAGGGUGACCGGCCACACUGGGACUGAGACACGGCCCAGACUCCUACGGGAGGCAGCAGCUAAGAAUCUUCCGCAAUGGCCGAAAGGCUGACGGAGCGACGCCGCGUGGACGAUGAAGGCCGGAAGGUUGUAAAGUCCUUUUAUUGGAGAAGAAUAAUGCGGGGAGGGAAUGCCCUGCAGAUGACGUUAUCCUAUGAAUAAGCCCCGGCUAAUUACGUGCCAGCAGCCGCGGUAACACGUAAGGGGCAAGCGUUGUUCGGAAUUAUUGGGCGUAAAGGGCGCGUAGGCGGCUAUGAAAGUCUGGUGUGAAAGGCCACCGCUUAACGGUGGGAGUGCACUGGAAACUACAUGGCUAGAGUUCAAGAGGGGAAGCUGGAAUUCCUGGUGUAGGGGUGAAAUCUGUAGAUAUCAGGAAGAACACCUGUGGCGAAGGCGAGCUUCUGGCUAUGAACUGACGCUGAGGCGCGAAAGCGUGGGGAGCGAACAGGAUUAGAUACCCUGGUAGUCCACGCUGUAAACGAUGUGCACUAGGUGUUGGCUGUUGUAACGGUCAGUGCCGAAGCAAACGCGAUAAGUGCACCGCCUGGGGAGUAUGCUCGCAAGGGUGAAACUCAAAGGAAUUGACGGGGGCCCGCACAAGCGGUGGAGCAUGUGGUUAAUUCGAUAUACGCGAGGAACCUUACCAGGGCUUGACAUAUGCAUGACGAUCAUAGAGAUAUGGUUUCCCUUCGGGGCGUGUAUACAGGCGCUGCAUGGUUGUCGUCAGCUCGUGCUGUGAGGUGUUGGGUUAAGUCCCGCAACGAGCGCAACCCCUGCUGUCUGUUGCCAGCAUUUCGGAUGGGGACUCAGACGGUACUGCCGGUGACAAACCGGAGGAAGGUGGGGAUGACGUCAAAUCAUCAUGGCCCUUAUGUCCUGGGCUACACACGUGCUACAAUGGUUGGUACAGAGCGAUGCAAAACCGCGAGGUGGAGCAAAUCGCAGAAAGCCGGCCUCAGUACGGAUUGGAGUCUGAAACUCGACUUCAUGAAGUUGGAAUCGCUAGUAAUCGCGCAUCAGCAUGGCGCGGUGAAUACGUUCCCGGGCCUUGUACACACCGCCCGUCACACCACCCGAGUUGGGGGUACCCGAAGUCGCUCGUCUAACCGGUUACGGAGGACGGUGCCGAAGGUAUGCCUGGUAAGGGGGGUGAAGUCGUAACAAGGUA
Molecule: ribosomal RNA, 1489 nt
Filed under: metagenome
Description: bacterial SSU rRNA
Rfam family: Bacterial small subunit ribosomal RNA
Source: RNAcentral